ACAGCAGUAGCCACGGUAAUACGGAGGGAGCUAGCGUUAUUCGGAAUUACUGGGCGUAAAGCGCACGUAGGCGGCUUUGUAAGUUAGAGGUGAAAGCCUGGAGCUCAACUCCAGAAUUGCCUUUAAGACUGCAUCGCUUGAAUCCAGGAGAGGUGAGUGGAAUUCCGAGUGUAGAGGUGAAAUUCGUAGAUAUUCGGAAGAACACCAGUGGCGAAGGCGGCUCACUGGACUGGUAUUGACGCUGAGGUGCGAAAGCGUGGGGAGCAAACAGGAUUAGAUACCCCUGUAGUCCCUGUCUCUUAUAC
Molecule: ribosomal RNA, 305 nt
Filed under: uncultured bacterium
Lineage: Bacteria
Description: partial 16S ribosomal RNA
Rfam family: Bacterial small subunit ribosomal RNA
Source: RNAcentral